AGAAUCAACGCUGGCGGCGUGCCUAACACAUGCAAGUCGAACGAGAAAGUGGAGCAAUCCAUGAGUAAAGUGGCGCACGGGUGAGUAACACGUGACUAACCUACCCUUGAGUGGGGGAUAACCUAGAGAAAUCUGGGCUAAUACCGCAUAAUACCUUCUGGUCAAAGGAGCAAUUCGCUUAAGGAGGGGGUCGCGGCCGAUUAGUUAGUUGGCGGGGUAAUGGCCCACCAAGACUGUGAUCGGUA
RNAcentral lists this ribosomal RNA (245 nucleotides) under uncultured bacterium. RNAcentral describes it as "partial small subunit ribosomal RNA". It matches the Rfam family "Bacterial small subunit ribosomal RNA", at positions 26 to 285 of the family's 1533-position model. The record is from RNAcentral.